This 550-nucleotide ribosomal RNA is filed under the name uncultured Acaulosporaceae. Its description in RNAcentral is "bacterial SSU rRNA". It matches the Rfam family "Eukaryotic small subunit ribosomal RNA", at positions 548 to 1084 of the family's 1831-position model. The record is from RNAcentral. Lineage: Eukaryota; Fungi; Glomeromycota; Glomeromycetes; Diversisporales; Acaulosporaceae.
UUGGAGGGCAAGUCUGGUGCCAGCAGCCGCGGUAAUUCCAGCUCCAAUAGCGUAUAUUAAAGUUGUUGCAGUUAAAAAGCUCGUAGUUGAAUUUCGGGGUUCAUCCGUUGGUCGGGCUUUUUGGUCUGUACUGGCGUGAUGGAUUCCUACCUUCUGAAUAACCAGCAUGUCAUUAAUUUGGUGCGCUGGGGAAGCAGGACUGUUACCUUGAAAAAAUUAGAGUGCUUAAAGCAGGCUAUCGCCUGAAUACAUUAGCAUGGAAUAAUGAAAUAGGACGGCAUGGUUCUAUUUUGUUGGUUUCUAGGAUCACCGUAAUGAUUAAUAGGGAUAGUUGGGGGCAUUAGUAUUCAAUUGUCAGAGGUGAAAUUCUUGGAUUUAUUGAAGACUAACUUCUGCGAAAGCAUUUGCCAAGGAUGUUUUCAUUAAUCAAGAACGAAAGUUAGGGGAUCGAAGACGAUCAGAUACCGUCGUAGUCUUACGACUAAAUAACUAUCGACCUAGGAGGUACGGUACGGACGUAGUUAGUUUUUAAAUUUUUAGUACGUACGUU